UGGGGAAUAUUGCACAAUGGGCGAAAGCCUGAUGCAGCAACGCCGCGUGAGUGAUGACGGCCUUCGGGUUGUAAAACUCUGUCUUCAGGGACGAUAAUGACGGUACCUGAGGAGGAAGCCACGGCUAACUACGUGCCAGCAGCCGCGGUAAUACGUAGGUGGCAAGCGUUGUCCGGAUUUACUGGGCGUAAAGGGAGCGUAGGCGGAUGUUUAAGUGGGAUGUGAAAUACUCGGGCUCAACUUGAGUGCUGCAUUCCAAACUGGAUAUCUAGAGUGCAGGAGAGGAAAGGAGAAUUCCUAGUGUAGCGGUGAAAUGCGUAGAGAUUAGGAAGAAUACCAGUGGCGAAGGCGCCUUUCUGGACUGUAACUGACGCUGAGGCUCGAAAGCGUGGGGAGCAAA
RNAcentral lists this ribosomal RNA (400 nucleotides) under uncultured bacterium. Its description in RNAcentral is "bacterial SSU rRNA". It matches the Rfam family "Bacterial small subunit ribosomal RNA", at positions 355 to 772 of the family's 1533-position model. The record is from RNAcentral.